RNAcentral lists this ribosomal RNA (244 nucleotides) under uncultured bacterium. RNAcentral describes it as "partial 16S ribosomal RNA". It matches the Rfam family "Bacterial small subunit ribosomal RNA", at positions 89 to 334 of the family's 1533-position model. The record is from RNAcentral.
UGGCGACCGGCGCACGGGUGAGUAACGCGUAUGCAACCUGCCCGAUACCGGGGUAUAGCCCAUGGAAACGUGGAUUAACACCCCAUAGUACUUUUAUCCUGCAUGGGAUGUGAGUUAAAUGUUCAAGGUAUCGGAUGGGCAUGCGUCCUAUUAGUUAGUUGGCGGGGUAACAGCCCACCAAGACGAUGAUAGGUAGGGGUUCUGAGAGGAAGGUCCCCCACAUUGGAACUGAGACACGGUCCAA